GCCUGGCUGGCUUGGUCGGUAGAGCACGAGACUCUUGAUUUCGGGGUUGUGGGUUCGAGCCCCAAGCUCGGUG
RNAcentral lists this transfer RNA (73 nucleotides) under Mustela putorius furo (domestic ferret). It matches the Rfam family "tRNA". From Rfam's summary of the family: Transfer RNA (tRNA) molecules are approximately 80 nucleotides in length. Their secondary structure includes four short double-helical elements and three loops (D, anti-codon, and T loops). The record is from Rfam by way of RNAcentral. Lineage: Eukaryota; Metazoa; Chordata; Mammalia; Carnivora; Mustelidae.